Molecule: ribosomal RNA, 299 nt
Filed under: uncultured bacterium
Lineage: Bacteria
Description: partial 16S ribosomal RNA
Rfam family: Bacterial small subunit ribosomal RNA
Source: RNAcentral
GACGAACGCUGGCGGCGCGCUUAACACAUGCAAGUCGAGCGAGAACCAGUCCUGGACGUGGGACGAGCGGCGAACGGGUGAGUAACACGUGAGUAAUCAACCCUUCGGUACCGGGAUAGCCCGAGGAAACUCGGAUUAAUACCGGAUGGCCCAACAGCUUUACGGAGCGGUUGGAAAAGGUAGCUUCGGCCUCCGACCAAGGACGAGCUCGCGGCGGAUUAGCUUGUUGGUGGGGUAACGGCCUACCAAGGCGACGAUCCGUAGCUGUCUGAGAGGACGGAUCAGCCACACUGGGACGU